Molecule: long non-coding RNA, 3566 nt
Organism: Dicentrarchus labrax (European seabass)
Lineage: Eukaryota; Metazoa; Chordata; Actinopteri; Moronidae
Exons: 2
Source: RefSeq, a predicted model, not a curated record
UUCUCACUCACCAGAGCAUCCUGGUAGACGUUGGUCCACUGCACCUGCUUGGCUCUGGGACCAGCCAGCACCAUGGGACGACCCAGAACAUCCAGUGGGCCACAAGCAGCAGCAUCCCGGUCCUGCCAAGCCAUAAAGCCUCCAGUCCUGAGACACUCAAGGCCGUUUUUCAUCAUUAUGAAGGAGCUAUUAAAAACACAUUAAGGGUGUCAAUGGCACAACGUGCAAACAGGCUAUUCUCCCAGAGGCUUUACUGUCAUCGCCGGCACUGUGAGAAUGUCCCACAGCGAUGGUGAAUAGAGGUGAGGGGUUAAGUCUACUAGUAAUACAUCAAAUUCACUGUAUUCUCUUGUUCUCUGGAGCUUCCUCUCACAACAGCUGAGAUGUGUGUUUUUUUUUUUUUAUAAACACCCUAUUGAUCUUUGUCAUUUUGGAGAUGGUGUGUAAUUUGGUAAAAUUAUUGAGUGAGUGACCUCAUGACAUAUGAAACGGUUGCACAGUUUAGAGGGAAAAGAAGCCUGCCGGGGAUGGGACGAUCGCACUGCAAGCCUUCAGUGUCUUGUUAUUAUAAAGACCAGAGACAGAAAAAUGAUUCUCUAAUUAAACCGACUGUGUAUAAUUCUGCAAACACUUACUAAAAGCCAACUUCCUCUUUAGUAUCCUACUCAGCAGUAUGUGAGUUGUAAUGCCAAAUGCCUUUAUGUAUCAACACACUGUAUUCAAAUGUAAAAACAGGCUCAGUGGGAAUGCAGCAGCUCUCUCUUGGGGCCGAACGUUAAUUCGGAAAACAUUAGACGUUUUCACAAGAUGACAAAUUUCCAUCCAGUUUGCAGCAAAAACGGAACCAUUAUCACAGGUUUCUGACCCUUGUAUCUGUCCUCGAUUGCACAAAAGGGGCGCCCUGUAUAAGCACGCAGCUAUUUCAGUAUUAUGCUUUCGACCGUUUGUUUUUCCAUCGCCUGAACAGUGAGGUGCUGACAGGCGUAACCUAUUCUAUUAUUAGCUCAAUAAAAGUCCGGUUUAACGCGCCACAGGGAGAUAUUCCAUCAGGACAAUGACAGCCAGACCUUUUCACGGGAUAUAGGGGAAAUUUUCCGCCUGGCUAGAAUGAUCUAGGAAACAUAAAAAGUCAGCAACUGAAGAUAUGUGGUCCAAAGGAACCGGAACCAUACAAAUUCCAAUAGCCUCCCUACACGUUGAUUAAAUGCUAUUGUCUCCCUGGGUACCGUAACAACUACGACGGCAGAGAGUAAACUCAUCAGUACGUUCCCUCUAAAGACAAACAUUCUAACUAAAGCCUGGCCUGUUAUUGUUACUCCACUGAGAUUCUAUACAAAGAAGAAAGAAUGGAUGAAGUAAGCCUCAACCAUGCAGAAACAGAGAAGAAGGUGCCACGUCUUUUUAAAAACUAUUCCACUCUUCCUUCCUACAUGAUCACAUGACUCUGGACGGUAAGAAUAAUAAUAAUUUUGCCAUCUGUGGUCCAUCUGUUAUUUGAAAGUUGCCAUCUUAGUCAAGUGAGACUAUCCGAUGAGUGUCUGAUGUUGAAGGGCAGUGUAUGAUUAAAUAAUGUGUCUUCUAGGCCUAUACAGAGAGCCGUAGUCACCCACCUUCAGAAAACCUAUUAGAGUAAGUGGCAGUUUUCAGAAUAUAAAUAUGCCAGAGUUAAUGGAACAGCUGACAGUAUAUUCUGGGGCCUGAUCGCUCACCGGGGCUGAGGCGGGGUGGUGGUGGUGGGUAGGAGGAGAUGGGAGGGAAUUGGGGUAGGAGAUAGGAAGGGAGAGAGCAAGGGAGGAGGGGUGAGCAAGUAGCUCCCCCACCACAUAUCGUGAGUCAAUUUCUACAGCUGGAAUGAGGUUAUCCCAAGGGCCUCUAGAAGCUUGGAGGGCCUCAAGCAAGUGUAGGGGGUGGCAGGUCCGGGGUGUGUGAGGAACCCGAGGGUGUGUGUGUGUGUGUGUGUGUGUGUGUGUGUGUGAGAGAGAAAGAGAUAGAAAAGAAAGUCUUUUCCUCAGAGCGUCCACAAACAUUAGCAUAGAAAGACCACAACUCUAUUUGUUAUCACUCCAUCUCCAACUCUGUCACUUCCCUUAUGUAGUCAUCCAGCUGUGUCGUCUUCUGUCCCUUUGUCAUGGAAUAAAAAGCCUAUCUACAAUCUGUAUAAUUAUCAUCAAAGAGACCAUGAAGGAAGAAUGAACUACUUUCUUGCUUAAAAGUGCUGUUUUUUGUGGAUUCACAAAGGUGUAUACAAGCUUGUCCACACUAAAAUUUUUUGGGGGACUUUAUAAUGCCUUUAUUUGAUAGAGCAGCUGAAGAGUGACACAAAAGUGGGGGGAGAAAGAGGAUAACAUGCAGCAAAGGGCUGCAGGUUGGACUCCAACCCAGCAGCCUUAGUACGUUGGGGGGUGCACUCAACCGAGUGAGCGACCAGGGUGACCUGCACUGCACAUAUCUCACCUGGGUGUUGAUUCUGAUGGCUCCAAUCGAUGGAAUUUCAAAGUAGUAACCUGAAGAUUAAGAAAAGAGAAUCAAUACACUAUUCCAACAGAAAGCUGCUGUAUCCAGCCUGCUUCAUCGUGCCUGCAUGUCUCAUAUUCUGUCUACAUUUUCAAGAGUCACAGUGUGUACAAAAGUGAUCCAUUUAUAGAUUGGAGUCUAAUCUCUUCCAUGUUAUUAGGUACAUGUAAUGCUAUCGUCUCCAGCUGAUGAUGUUGUGCCAAGCAGGCACGACAGAGCUUGUGGCCAUUGACCUCUCCACACUCAUGUGCUGUAGGAUGUAAAUGUGGAGGCUCAUUGUGAAUGCUGAGCCCCAGGCACUGCUGCUGCUGAUUAGGAAUGGAGGAGAGUGACCGACUGGGUCAAUAACCACGCCGCUCCCCAAGUUAUUAAAGUCAUGAGUGUUUAUACAAAGAGCCGCGAAAUGGAGACAGCAUCCCCAGAAUGUUAAAAGGCAGAGAUGACUCUCAUUAUUUUGAUACAUUAUGCACUUUGCUACAGUGGUUUGUGUCAAGAUUUGCGUUCUCUGUCUCAUUCAUUUGCACAUGCGAGCAUGCAGAUAUUAGGCACUCGCGUGCACGUGCAUACACAUCUCUGCACACACAAUCUAUGUCUCUCUCACACACACACACACACACACACACACACACACACACACGCAGGGCACAGCUAUUUGUCAUAGUUUUGUUCAGAGUAGUAGUUUGUCCCAGUGCUUUUGGCAGAGUACCAAAGAGGUGUCAUCUGUCGUUGUAGGGCAAAGCUUGGCGAGAGAUGAAGACAGGAUAAUAUAGGUGAUAACUAUAGAAGUGAGACUGUGAUGUCGAUCUGCAGGUUAACAACAGAGAUCAGCUGUGUGAGGGGCAAUUAUGAAUUUAAUCAAUAACCUAUUUUCCACGUGAAACUUGUUUACAUAAUGCCUCUGUGCUAUUAGAAGUCAGCCUUCCUCAAAUGUCAUCAUAUAUUAUGCCUUGAAGUAACUGUUAUGUAGGUUAAGUACGAUGUAGAUAUUAUAAGUAUAUCCUAAUGCAAAUAUGAGUAAGAUAGAAGUUUACCCAAUAAACUCUUCCAACAAA